Molecule: non-coding RNA, 558 nt
Organism: Schizosaccharomyces pombe (fission yeast)
Lineage: Eukaryota; Fungi; Ascomycota; Schizosaccharomycetes; Schizosaccharomycetales; Schizosaccharomycetaceae
Source: the annotation of a GenBank genome assembly
AUGACGUUGUUCUUGGCUCAAUAAGUCUGUGUCAGCGGCGACUAUAGCGAUCAUGCUUAUAAUCGGUUUACAGCAGGCUAAUGAAAGAGAAUUUUGGAUGGUAAAAGAAAAACGAAGAAUAGGAAGAAGAUGGGCGGGAAAAGAUGGGUUAAAUGGUAUGAAAAGAUGGGUGAAAUGGUAUGAAAAAGAAGGAAAUGAAUAGAGAAACAAUGAAAAUGGAUGAAAAACGAAAGAACGAGCGAAAACGGAUGACUUUUGCAAAAGCUAGAGAUAUUGAAAAAAGAGUAAAUAAAGGGAAAACAAUGAUUAAGUGCAGGAAAGGCUACAAGAGGCGAAAAAAAAGUGAGAAAUAGAUAAAUAAAUUCGUGUAGGAUAGUUUGUUGAAAGGAGAGCGAAGUAUGGAGUUUGAUUGUAAAAUGUAAAGGAGAAAGGGAUAAGAGUGAUGAAAAGGAAAAGGAUACAACUGAAUAAAGAAAGGAUUAAAGAUUGAAAAAGGAAAGGAAUAGUAACGGUGAGAAAUGAUGAAUCAUCCACAAGUGAGUAAAACACGAAGAAAUU